Molecule: ribosomal RNA, 296 nt
Filed under: Escherichia coli
Lineage: Bacteria; Pseudomonadati; Pseudomonadota; Gammaproteobacteria; Enterobacterales; Enterobacteriaceae
Description: partial 23S ribosomal RNA
Rfam family: Bacterial large subunit ribosomal RNA
Source: RNAcentral
GUGGGCGCUGGAGAACCGAGGGGGGCUGCUCCUAGUACGAGAGGACCGGAGUGGACGCAUCACUGGUGUUCGGGUUGUCAUACCAAUGGCACUGCCCGGUAGCUAAAUGCGGAAGAGAUAAGUGCUGAAAGCAUCUAAGCACGAAACUUGCCCCGAGAUGAGUUCUCCCUGACUCCUUGAGAGUCCUGAAGGAACGUUGAAGACGACGACGUUGAUAGGCCGGGUGUGUAAGCGCAGCGAUGCGUUGAGCUAACCGGUACUAAUGAACCGUGAGGCUUAACCUUACAACGCCGAAG